GAUGAACGCUAGCGGCAGGCUUAACACAUGCAAGUCGAAUGGUAAGUUAGAAGCUUGCUUCUAACACGAGUGGCGCACGGGUGCGUAACGCGUAUGCAAUCUACCCUUUUCUGGAGAAUAGCCCUUAGAAAUGAGGAUUAAUACUCCAUAGUAUAACAAUUUCGCAUGUUAUUGUUAUUAAAGCUUCGGCGGAAAAGGAUGAGCAUGCGUCCCAUUAGUUUGUUGGUGAGGUAACGGCUCACCAAGACUACGAUGGGUAGGGGACCUGAGAGGGUUAUCCCCCACACUGGUACUGAGACACGGACCAG
This 308-nucleotide ribosomal RNA is filed under the name uncultured bacterium. RNAcentral's name for it is "bacterial SSU rRNA". It matches the Rfam family "Bacterial small subunit ribosomal RNA", at positions 28 to 334 of the family's 1533-position model. The record is from RNAcentral.